This 278-nucleotide small RNA is filed under the name Kyrpidia spormannii. Its description in RNAcentral is "5_ureB_sRNA". It matches the Rfam family "5' ureB small RNA". Lineage: Bacteria; Bacillati; Bacillota; Bacilli; Caryophanales; Alicyclobacillaceae. The record is from RNAcentral.
ACUUGUUGCGGACAAAUGAAAUGGAUGUGGGUGUCAAUGCCGCCGGCAGUGACGAUGCACCCUUCCCCCGCCACCACUUCAGUGGAAGCGCCGACAAUCAUGUCCGGGCGCACCCCGUCCAUGGUGUCCGGGUUUCCCGCCUUUCCCACUCCGACGAUCCGCCCGUUUUUGAUCCCGAUGUCCCCUUUGACGAUGCCCCAGUGGUCGAUGACCAGGGCGCCUGUGAUCACGAGAUCGAGGACGCCGUCCCGGCGGAGCGCCCUGGCCGACUGUCCCAU